GAUGAACGCUGGCGGCGUGCCUAAUACAUGCAAGUCGAGCGGACGGACGAGGAUUUUGCUUGUCUGAUGUUAGGGGCGGGCGGGUGAGUAACACGUGGAUACCCUACCUAUAAGACUGAGAUCAUUACGGGAAAGCGGAGAUAAUAGCGGAUGAGAUUUUGAACCGCAUGGUUCAAAAGUGAAAGACGGUCUUGCUGUCACUAAUAGAUGGAUCCCGGCUGCAUUAGCUAGUUGGUACGGUAACGGCUUACCAAGGCGACGCUGCGUAGCCGACCUGAGAGGGUGAUCGGCCACACGGGAACUGAGACACGGUCCAGACUCCUACGGGAGGCAGCAGUAGGGAAUCUUCCGCAAUGGGCGAAAGCCUGACGGAGCAACGCCGCGUGUGUGAUGAAGGUCUUCGGAUCGUAAAGCUCUGUUAGUAGGGAAGAACAUAUGUGUAAGUAACUGUGCACAUCUUGACGGUACCUAAUCAGAAAGCCACGGCUAACUACGUG
Molecule: ribosomal RNA, 497 nt
Filed under: uncultured bacterium
Lineage: Bacteria
Description: partial 16S ribosomal RNA
Rfam family: Bacterial small subunit ribosomal RNA
Source: RNAcentral